AGUGUGUAAUUUCUACGGCACUAGCCUAACUAAACAAAAUUGGAUUCAUUAACAAGUUUUAUAGUUUAAUUUGAUGUGCAAAAUCCACAAAUUAUUUUAUUUAUUUACUUCCAUGCAAAGCAGAUGCAGAUUGGGAUGAACUCAUCACCAGGGUUGAGGUAAUGGGUGAAUCACAGAUAAUGCAGAAGUACAAUGGAAAUAACCAGGAAUAUACAUCGAGUAAAACAAGGAGAUUAAAGAAAGCCAUUAGGAGAACACUGAGGAGAGCAACAAGGAAUUCCACAAGGCAAGUGUAAACCCGUAAGUAGGUCCGUAAUAUAGACAAGAUUCGACCUUGAGUAAGUGAGAGUGCUGGGUUUUUUUUAUACAGUCCCUGAUGGUGGAUCAUGGUGGAGCUGGAGGAUCAACAGACCUAGGAGGAGCUGGGAAAGGUGGAGAACAAGGCAAAGCUGGAGGGAUGAGGAAACAGGGUGCGAUGCUGAACCAAAGGACCAAGGUUGUGCCAAAGGACCCGAGGUGGAGUUGGUCAGAAGACUGAGGCAGAGCCAAUGGGAGCCAAAGGGGUGGAGGGACCAGGUGCGGCCCAAGGCCUGAAAGUCCGCGGUGGAGCCAGGAUGAUGACAGACCAAGGCGGAGCUAGGGGGACAAAAGAGCCCAGUGGAGCCAGAGGGAUGACGGACCACGGUGGAGCAUAGUAUCGACGAGCUAUGGUGGAGCCAAUCGUGAAGCCGUGGAGUGGUUCCCUUCCAUCUCAGAAAUAAGAAAAUUAAACCACCCAGGCAGAAAACUUUGUUGAUGUAUUGGGCUAACGUGGUGCUGUCUCUUCUCGGUGAUAGAAAAAAGGUACAUAGAAUCAUCCACUUCCUUCCGAAAACAUGUUUUAAGCAUGAUGGCAGAGGUGCAAAGCUCAGUUCCUGGAGGGCCACAACCCUGCAGAGUGCUCCAACACACAUACCUGUACUUUUCAAAUAAAUCAAUUCAAUGUUUAUUCAACUCAGUUCAAUAACAGUGUCAAUGUUGCAAAUUAAUCAAUUAUUAAACAAAGUCAAAUCCUAUAAUGUAAUAUUACUGUAUAUUAAGUGUCCUUUAAACCCCAACUAAACAAGCCAAAGGUCACAUUGGCAAGGAACCCAUUAGG
Molecule: long non-coding RNA, 1138 nt
Organism: Ctenopharyngodon idella (grass carp)
Lineage: Eukaryota; Metazoa; Chordata; Actinopteri; Cypriniformes; Xenocyprididae
Exons: 2
Source: RefSeq, a predicted model, not a curated record